This is a long non-coding RNA of Glycine soja, 1167 nucleotides long. RefSeq lists it as uncharacterized. The transcript has 4 exons. NCBI's taxonomy places the organism in Eukaryota, Viridiplantae, Streptophyta, Magnoliopsida, Fabales, Fabaceae. The record is from RefSeq and is a predicted model, not a curated record.
UUUACCAUUAAAAUAAAAUUCUUGCAUGCCCUUUGUAUGAAAUCCACACUGUUGAGACCGUAAGCUCUUGAAUGAUGAUUUGUUGUACAGCGUCACAUUCACAAACGCAUGGCACAGCGAAAUUUCCUUCAAUUUCUGAUGAUGGUCGUAGAUAAUUGGAUUGGAUAUUCUCUUUUGUACCUUUUGGAUCUUUCCUUUUGACCCCACUCAAUCACCUUUGUUUUCUUCACAGCACUCCUAUGCUUAAGGUUGGGCUUAAAGCCUAAAACUAGAAGCUUGGACUUGAUGAUGAGUACAUACCCGGAACUUUUCUGUUCUGUCAGUCCAUUUCAAUUUGCUUUAGUGAUUUUCACUUUGUCUGAAUCGACCAACCCAACAAGCAUGAAAUUCAUUUUUGAAGUACAUAUGCUGCAUUUAUACCGCUAUAAGUGAGGGCGGGGGGACAUGUGAUCAUGGUAUAGUUCAUUUGUAAUCUAAAUUGGAUCUAACAAAUAUAUCUAUGAAGCUACCAAAUACCCAUCAGAGUAUGACAAAUCAUCAUGAAAGUCUUGGUGGUUCAGUAUUUUUGAAACGAUCACGACAUUAUUAUGAUAAUCAAUAUUCUCGACAUACUUCUACCAAUCAUACAAAUGCAUCAUCUUCUCGUGACAAGGAGUAUAGAGAGAAAGUGUUUCUCAGGCCAGAGAGAAUUCAGUCAAAUUCCUUAGGGAUGGAUGCAAUAUCACCAAAUAUAGCAAAGAUGGUUUGUGGGAUUUGUGAAAAACUACUAAGUCAAAAAAAUAAUUUUUUGGGGAGUUCAAUGUCUUGUGAACUUUCAGCUGUGGCAGUUUUAGUGUGUGGCCAUGUUUAUCAUGCAAAUUGUUUAGAGCAAAGAACUCCAUUUGAAGAACUACACGAUCCAACAUGUCCAGUGUGUGCAAGCUUAUUCUUGCAGGAUCACGUUAAUAAAUGAUGACAAUAGUUCCAAGAAGACCAUAUGAAUGUUACAACUUGAUGUUGAUGGUAGUUUUGAGGAAGGUAACAAAAUAAAAUAUAUGACAUUUCAUUACAAGUGAAUUACGAUAGCUUGGAUAAAGAUCUUGUAAAUUGACACAAUCUUGGCCUUAGUCAUAGAUAUUGUCAAUUAAGAGUAAUACUUGAAAUUUUAUUUUAAAACUCUUUUGUUUC